Sapajus apella (tufted capuchin) is the source of this 329-nucleotide long non-coding RNA. RefSeq lists it as uncharacterized. NCBI's taxonomy places the organism in Eukaryota, Metazoa, Chordata, Mammalia, Primates, Cebidae. The record is from RefSeq and is a predicted model, not a curated record. The transcript is spliced from 3 exons.
AGAAGAAAAGAUACCUUUAAAAAUAUUACUGCUAAUAGAUAACACACUUGGUCAUCCAAGAGUUCUGGUGGAGAUGUACAAGGACAUGAAUGUUGUUUUCACACCUGCUAACACAACAUCCAUUCUGCAGCCCAUGGAUUGAGAAGUAAUUUUGAAUUUCAAGUCUUAUUAUUUAAGAAAUACAAUUCAUAUGGCUAUAGCUACCAUAGAUAGUGAUUCCUCUGAUAGCUCUGGAUAAAGUAAAUUGAAAUCCUUCUGGAAAGAUUUCACCAUUCUAGAUGACAUUAAGAACAUCUGUGAUUCAUGGGAGGAAGUCAAAAUAACAAAAU